GUUCAGGAUGCCAUUGGGAAACUUCUGGGUUUUCCACGUGCAUAAUAACAUGUUGAUUCGAUGCGGGCAGUAGACGGAAUUCUUGCAGGUACUCACUGCGGAACGGGUGAAUUAGUCCACGCAUCCAUGGAUAUUAUCGAAUAGUUUUAUUUUUCACGAUAAUAGCGAAUAAACGAAAUUUCGGCAGCACUGUUUGUCAUCUUAUCCGCACUUUGAAAACGCUGUAUACGAGACGUAUUUCAUAUCAUUAUAUAGACGGGACCGUUUAGCGAGGGAUUCAUUAUAUAGCAUUGUCUAUCACAGAUCGUUCACAGUCCUGAUAAACGAUUACUCACCAUUCUGUCAAUAUAUUCAUAUCCGAUAUAUAUUCUAUUCUCAACCCGUUUACCGAUACAUAGUUACUCCAUAGUAAAUAUCAUUUGCUUAUUACUGAAAGUAGUUAAGAACAACCAUACUUCAAAUAACUGUUAAGAUGAGUAUAAAGUGCUGAAAGCUGUAACGUGUAUAAGAUCAGGAAACAACGUCGACGAGAAUUCAAUAUCUAACUUCCAGUAAAAGACCUGGACAAAUUGCAGUCUCUAAGUUAGAAGAAAGUAAAAGAUAAAAACAAAAUGAAAUAAGAGUGUCGUGGUAUAGCAAUCUGUAUCCUCUAAGAACUUUUAAGCAGUAGAACUUCUCAGCUUGAACGAUAGCCAGUGCGCCGGGUGAACUUAAAUGCAAGCUAAUAUCCAUUAAUAAAACUGUCAACGAUGAGAUUCUAUAGUGUUAACCCAGAAUAUUAUAAUUUCAGAAUUGACAAUAGGACAUAUGGUCAGUUUUCAUGUAAUUGGAAUUACGUAGCAAUUGUCCUAAUGUAUUGUAUUAUUCUAUGAUCGAAUGCAGUUCAUUAACAAUUUUAAUCCGUAUUACAGAUUUGAAUACAAGCACGAGCUGUUAUGGUACAAAUUAGCCAAUGGCAGUAGAGGAUCGACUCCGACAGCCAAUCAGAAGGAAUCAUUAAGGGUGCCGUUAAAUUUGAAUUAUCAGAGCCUUCUUACAUGCACAAUUCAGAUUAUAAUGAUUAUUAAUAUUUUAUAAAGGAAUAAUCGAACUCGCACACUGCUGUAGAGCUUGUCAUUUACUUUUAGGAUUUCACUCCACUUCCUUACUGGCCGGGGUUAACGGUUCUGGAACGUCUGACUUCACAACCCCGUGUGGUAUUACUGACUGUUUCUCCUGUCACGCGGACGCAAUGGCCUUGGCUAUGGUCGUGGUGGUGGAAGCAGUUCAGCUUAUGGGGGUAGAGGCGCCAAUGAGAUAUAUAAUAUACCAACAAUACAAUAUAUUGCACAUAAUCGCAGAGUCAAAUAUAAUUCGAUUAAAACCGUGUCAAGCGAAGAUUGUUAUAUCUAUAUGAUACCCAUACAAAAAUUAACUCGUUAAUUCGAGACUUAUAAAUUCAUUGGAAUCAUCCGCCCACAGGAAAUGAACGGAGUUAACGAAAAAAUUAUUUCGUUAUCACGUGAUAAGUUCAGUUUGGAAUAACAAGAAAGUAUAACCGCGGGGCUGUCACUAUAAAUAUUCUCUACAGGACUCUAGGAAAGUUGGAUAAUUAGUCUAGCUGCUCACUGGCGCCACCAUUUAAUUAGUCCCAUGGUGUCAGUAUACGUCUUCGGUACAAAGCAAUGAAAAAAAUAGGGUUCACCGUGUCGAUCAACAUGAAGGCAAGCAUAGGAAGUCACGUUGGUCGUUACAAUAAAUUCACAAGAGCCAUGAGAUUCUAUGGAGCUUUCCAAAAAUUAGAAAGAUUUCCCAAUUGUCUCUUUGACUGUAAUCUCAUUAUUGGUAUUUAUUAGCAGCUUCGGCGACCUUUUCUUACAGUCUCCCAUUCGAUUACCCACUAUAAUCAUAUAUACUCACUAUGACGAUUCUGUUUACUCUACCACUUUGGUUCCGAUUCAUUAAUUCUAGCACGUUCGAUAAACGAACGCAAUGGUGGCUGACUGACCGAGUCAAAAAGUCUUCGUUGUCCCCUGGACUUUGGCACAGUGACGUCGAUUAAUUUAUGUUGCUCAAAAAUAUUCAAUAAUUCCAAUAUCCCAGCUCGGGCCUGUACCUCUUGCUUGAAACAGUGGCUGAGCACCACCGAAUAAGAUGAGUACAUCAAAUGACGAUGCUACUCUCUCGUCAAGGACUAAUUACCCGAGGCGACAUAUCCUCAUUAAUUAUCGAUCAUUCUGACCAUGAGUCACAGCGAUAUAUGCCGGGUGUAGUCAUGCCAGCUUAACGAGUGGCCAACGAGACUACUCGU
Cephus cinctus (wheat stem sawfly) is the source of this 2290-nucleotide long non-coding RNA. RefSeq lists it as uncharacterized. The record is from RefSeq and is a predicted model, not a curated record. Lineage: Eukaryota; Metazoa; Arthropoda; Insecta; Hymenoptera; Cephidae. The transcript is spliced from 5 exons.